CCCCCCGGCCAGCGCAGCGAGAGGAUCCCCCGGGCGGCAACAGGCGCCUCCGCAGCAAAGGUUCCGCGGGGAGGAGAAAGGUUCCCACAUCCCACGGGGCAGGAGAGACAGCAGCAGGGCCGCGGGGAGGUAGCAGAAACCCCCUGGAGGUUUCUGGGCCUGGUGUCUCAGCGGGGUCCAGCUGAGACUCCUGCCCCCCUCCAGUCCCACAGCCCUUCUCAUGGCUGCCACCCAAACUUUGUCAAUCAGGCCUGGAACCAGAGGGCAUCACCCACCAUGCAGAUAAACAUCCAUCACCCACCUUGGACCCACACAGGCCAAAUACUCUGAUCUCCCUUGGUUGUUUAUUAGGAAGUGCUGGCUCCUUAAGUUCACGUUGGACUACAAGUGCCUGUUGCUCAUAUCUGGCCUGAAGCUGCAGGUUCUGAGACAGCAACUGGCUGCAUGUGAGAAUUCGACAGGCCUCACGUGCCCAGGGAGUGUCACAUUUUGAAUAUCCCUGCUCUGUGAAAACAAUUGACCCCAUCACAUUAGUGCUGGUUCCACAGCCCUGAAGAAGCACUUGACCCCACCACUCAGCUAUCAUUAGGCGUCAAGUCAACCCCUACAAUUACUGAAAGGCAAGACAGAAAGGAAACACGCUGCCACUAUUCAGAACCGAUGUCCAUUAAGUGCAGAACUGAGCAUAGGCAACUGUGAAAUACAACACUUUAAUUCCAUCUAGGGGCUGGACCUGGUAAUGUCAGACUGCUUAUUUCUAGCAUUACCAAUGUUGUAUUACAUGGCUCCCGUGAACUACUGUGGCUUAGGUGUCCACUGUCCUCAGUUCUCUGAAGUACAGAGCCCCGUUGAUGUCGCAUCCCAGAAUAGAGGUUGUCUAGUAAAGGUCACGUACAUUCCAGAGAUGCAGGAGCCAAGGAAGGAGGAAAAGCAGCCUAAGAACAAGGGUCCUCAGACCACAGAACGGCAGACACAAGAGUGCCUCAUAAUGGAAAUAGUAUGUCCCAUGAGGCUCUUCAAAAGAAUGAAUGAGAGGCUCCAGGCAGGCAGCACACCUCCUGGGACAUCAAGUCGGGUUGACUGAUGGAUGUCUCUGUUCCCCUGCUGAAGGGAAUCCCCAGCCACCAGCACUCUACAUCUCCUUCUCUCAGGUGCAGUGGCAGUGAGCCUCCCAGCCUUGGAGACAAACAGCUGCUUUUCAUCAGCCAUUAGAGUCUGCUCCUCACCUCCUGUUGCCAGUAUGGCAUCCUAGUUCUUCACCUCAGUGGACUGGGGACCUGAGUGGGGGUGGAGCACUGUCGACUGCCCAAGGUGGCCAGCAGCCAGUCUCCUCCUCACAGAGAAGCCAGUUCUCCUUCCUUCUGUGGAGCAGCUGUAGUCAUCUGUAGUCAACUAGCCUCCUCCAUCCCAGAUGUCGCCGUGUGCAUCCUGUCGAAGUCCUCACGCUCCUGGAUGCUACACAGAUAAGCCACCUCCUCUUGCAGCUCUCUUACCAGCUUCCUGAGAGACUCCACCAACAGACACCUCUCACACCUGGUGGUUCCCCCUGCCUGGCUUUUGCUGGCCUCCAAUGGCAGUUUGCGUGUCUGGCAGGGGCCUCCCAUAGGUGCAGGCAAAGGAACAGGUGCAGCUAGCAGUGGUCUUGGCAACAUGCCAUUUUCCUCCCAUGCUGGGUUCUUCCUGUACCUUCAAGUUAAGGAAACAAAAAGCAACACAAGUCUACCUCCCUGCCUCCUUCCAGUGGCGAACAUGGAAAAUCUCCAGUGGAAGAACAGAAACAGAUAAAAUAUCAGACUGUUUUUGGAAGAGUCAAGCUGUCUGAACAAGGGGUGCUAUUCCAUUGCCACAAACAGAAGACACAGCUGGAGAAGUGGGGACAGAAAGGACUUUUGCCUUUCCCAAAGACCCUGACCAAACCCAAAGACUCUCGGCAGUGGUGAGAACUCCAAAGGGGGAUAGCAUUUAGGCAUUUAUAGUUUUGCCUAGAUCCGUAACUCUCCUGUGCUGUCUAAGAAUUAAAUAUAUAUGUUUAAGAAGCUCCUUUGCAAAGUUUG
Molecule: long non-coding RNA, 2054 nt
Organism: Chelonia mydas (Green sea turtle)
Lineage: Eukaryota; Metazoa; Chordata; Testudines; Cheloniidae
Exons: 3
Source: RefSeq, a predicted model, not a curated record